Molecule: ribosomal RNA, 568 nt
Filed under: soil bacterium S103M1
Lineage: Bacteria
Description: bacterial SSU rRNA
Rfam family: Bacterial small subunit ribosomal RNA
Source: RNAcentral
GUCGAACGGAAAGGCCCUUCGGGGUACUCGAGUGGCGAACGGGUGAGUAACACGUGGGUGAUCUGCCCUGCACUUCGGGAUAAGCCUGGGAAACUGGGUCUAAUACCGGAUACACCUCAUGGACUGCAUGGUCUGUGGGGGAAAGCUUUUGCGGUGUGGGAUGGGCCCGCGGCCUAUCAGCUUGUUGGUGGGGUGAUGGCCUACCAAGGCGACGACGGGUAGCCGGCCUGAGAGGGUGACCGGCCACACUGGGACUGAGAUACGGCCCAGACUCCUACGGGAGGCAGCAGUGGGGAAUAUUGCACAAUGGGCGCAAGCCUGAUGCAGCGACGCCGCGUGGGGGAUGACGGCCUUCGGGUUGUAAACCCCUUUCAGCACAGACGAAGCGCAAGUGACGGUAUGUGCAGAAGAAGGACCGGCCAACUACGUGCCAGCAGCCGCGGUAAUACGUAGGGUCCGAGCGUUGUCCGGAAUUACUGGGCGUAGAGAGCUCGUAGGUGGUUUGUCACGUUGUUCGUGAAAACCCACAGCUCAACUGUGGGCGUGCGAGCGAUACGGGCAGACUAGA